UUGUCUCAAAGAUUAAGCCAUGCAUGUCUCAGUACAAGCCGAAUUAAGGUGAAACCGCGAAAGGCUCAUUAAAUCAGUUAUGGUUCCUUAGAUCGUACCCACAUUUACUUGGAUAACUGUGGUAAUUCUAGAGCUAAUACAUGCAAACAGAGCUCCAACCGGAAACGGAAGGAGCGCUUUUAUUAGAUCAAAACCAAUCGGUGGCGAAAUCCGUCAUCGUACAACUUGGUGACUCUGAAUAACUUUACGCUGAUCGCACGGUCUCGCACCGGCGACGCAUCUUUCAAAUGUCUGCCUUAUCAACUGUCGAUGGUAGGUUCUGCGCCUACCAUGGUUGUAACGGGUAACGGGGAAUCAGGGUUCGAUUCCGGAGAGGGAGCCUGAGAAACGGCUACCACAUCCAAGGAAGGCAGCAGGCGCGCAAAUUACCCACUCCCGGCACGGGGAGGUAGUGACGAAAAAUAACGAUACGGGACUCAUCCGAGGCCCCGUAAUCGGAAUGAGUACACUCUAAACCCUUUAACGAGGAUCAAUUGGAGGGCAAGUCUGGUGCCAGCAGCCGCGGUAAUUCCAGCUCCAAUAGCGUAUAUUAAAGUUGUUGCGGUUAAAAAGCUCGUAGUCGAAUCUGUGUCCCGCGCCGCCGGUUCAUCGUUCGCGGUGUUAACUGGCGUGCCGCGGGACGUCCUGCCGGUGGGCUUAGCUCGAGAGGGCGGCCCAACUCAAUCCCGCCGCGGUGCUCUUCAUUGAGUGUCGAGGUGGGCCGGCACGUUUACUUUGAACAAAUUAGAGUGCUUAAAGCAGGCUAAAACUUCGCCUGAAUACUGUGUGCAUGGAAUAAUGGAAUAGGACCUCGGUUCUAUUUUGUUGGUUUUCGGAACCCCGAGGUAAUGAUUAAUAGGAACGGAUGGGGGCAUUCGUAUUGCGACGUUAGAGGUGAAAUUCUUGGAUCGUCGCAAGACGGACAGAAGCGAAAGCAUUUGCCAAAAACGCUUUCAUUGAUCAAGAACGAAAGUUAGAGGUUCGAAGGCGAUCAGAUACCGCCCUAGUUCUAACCAUAAACGAUGCCAGCUAGCGAUCCGCCGACGUUCCUCCGAUGACUCGGCGGGCAGCUUCCGGGAAACCAAAGCUUUUGGGUUCCGGGGGAAGUAUGGUUGCAAAGCUGAAACUUAAAGGAAUUGACGGAAGGGCACCACCAGGAGUGGAGCCUGCGGCUUAAUU
Molecule: ribosomal RNA, 1218 nt
Filed under: Chrysopeplus expolitus
Lineage: Eukaryota; Metazoa; Arthropoda; Insecta; Coleoptera; Tenebrionidae
Also listed under: 5 other names
Description: SSU rRNA
Rfam family: Eukaryotic small subunit ribosomal RNA
Source: RNAcentral